RNAcentral lists this ribosomal RNA (259 nucleotides) under uncultured bacterium. RNAcentral's name for it is "partial 16S ribosomal RNA". It matches the Rfam family "Bacterial small subunit ribosomal RNA", at positions 333 to 606 of the family's 1533-position model. The record is from RNAcentral.
UCUUUCCUACGGGGGGCAGCAGUGGGGGAUAUUGCACAAUGGGGGAAACCCUGAUGCAGCGACGCCGCGUGGGCGAAGAAGUAUUUCGGUAUGUAAAGCUCUAUCAGCAGGGAAGAAAAAAAUGACGGUACCUGAGUAAGAAGCACCGGCUAAAUACGUGCCAGCAGCCGCGGUAAUACGUAGGGGGCAAGCGUUAUCCGGAUUUACUGGGUGUAAAGGGAGCGUAGACGGCUAAUCAAGUCAGAAGUGAAAACCCAGG